GAUGAACGCUAGCGGCAGGCUUAACACAUGCAAGUCGAGGGGUAUAGUAGCAAUACUAGAGACCGGCGCACGGGUGCGUAACGCGUAUGCAAUCUACCUUUUGCAGGGGAAUAGCCCAGAGAAAUUUGGAUUAAUGCCCCAUAGUAUAAUGACUCGGCAUCGAGAUAUUAUUAAAGUCACAACGGCAAAAGAUGAGCAUGCGUCCCAUUAGCUAGUUGGUAAGGUAACGGCUUACCAAGGCGACGAUGGGUAGGGGGCGUCAGAGCGUGGUCCCCCACACUGGCACUGAGAUACGGGCCAGACUCCUACGGGAGGCAGCAGUAGGGAAUAUUGGGCAAUGGAUGCAAGUCUGACCCAGCCAUGCCGCGUGCAGGAAGAAGGUCCUCUGGAUUGUAAACUGCUUUUAUCGGGGAAGAAUAGUUUUCUUGCGAGGGAAUGUGACGGUACCCGAUGAAUAAGCCACGGCUAACUACGUG
This 476-nucleotide ribosomal RNA is filed under the name uncultured bacterium. RNAcentral describes it as "bacterial SSU rRNA". It matches the Rfam family "Bacterial small subunit ribosomal RNA", at positions 28 to 507 of the family's 1533-position model. The record is from RNAcentral.